RNAcentral lists this ribosomal RNA (622 nucleotides) under uncultured soil bacterium. RNAcentral describes it as "bacterial SSU rRNA". It matches the Rfam family "Bacterial small subunit ribosomal RNA", at positions 170 to 773 of the family's 1533-position model. The record is from RNAcentral.
CGCAUAAUGCAGCGGCACCUCGGGUACAGUUGUUAAAGCGGGGGACCCUCGGGGCCUCGCGUCUGAAGAGAAGCCCGCGGCGGAUUAGCUAGUUGGUGAGGUAAAGGCUCACCAAGGCGACGAUCCGUAGCCGGCCUGAGAGGGCGGUCGGCCACACUGACACUGACAUACGGGUCAGACUCCUACGGGAGGCAGCAGUCGGGAAUUUUGGGCAAUGGGCGCAAGCCUGACCCAGCAACGCCGCGUGAAGGAUGAAGUUUCUCGGAAUGUAAACUUCACAAGAAUGGGAAGAAUAAGACAGGGCUAACACCUUUGUUGAUGACGGUACCAUUUGUAAGCUCCGGCUAACUCCGUGCCAGCAGCCGCGGUAAUACGGGGGGAGCAAGCGUUGUUCGGAUUUACUGGGCGUAAAGGGCGCGUAGGCGGCGCAACAAGUCACUUGUGAAAUCUCUCGGGCUUAACUCAGAGCGGUCAAGUGAUACUGUCGUGCUUGAGUGCGGAAGGGGCAACUGGAAUUCUCGGUGUAGCGGUGAAAUGCGUAGAUAUCGAGAGGAACACCUGCGGCGAAGGCGGGUUGCUGGGCCGACACUGACGCUGAGGCGCGAAAGCUAGGGGAGCGACG